This 469-nucleotide ribosomal RNA is filed under the name uncultured bacterium. Its description in RNAcentral is "partial 16S ribosomal RNA". It matches the Rfam family "Bacterial small subunit ribosomal RNA", at positions 28 to 507 of the family's 1533-position model. The record is from RNAcentral.
GACGAACGCUGGCGGCGUGCUUAACACAUGCAAGUCGAACGAUGAAGCACCAGCUUGCUGGUGUGGAUUAGUGGCGAACGGGUGAGUAACACGUGAGUAACCUGCCCCUCACUCUGGGAUAAGCCUGGGAAACUGGGUCUAAUACUGGAUACGACCGAUCUCCGCAUGGAGUGUUGGUGGAAAGUUUUUGUGGUGGGGGAUGGACUCGCGGCCUAUCAGCUUGUUGGUGGGGUGAUGGCCUACCAAGGCGACGACGGGUAGCCGGCCUGAGAGGGCGACCGGCCACACUGGGACUGAGACACGGCCCAGACUCCUACGGGAGGCAGCAGUGGGGAAUAUUGCACAAUGGGCGAAAGCCUGAUGCAGCGACGCCGCGUGAGGGAUGACGGCCUUCGGGUUGUAAACCUCUUUCACCAGGGACGAAGCUAACGUGACGGUACCUGGAGAAGAAGCACCGGCUAACUACGUG